Molecule: long non-coding RNA, 378 nt
Filed under: Urocitellus parryii (Arctic ground squirrel)
Lineage: Eukaryota; Metazoa; Chordata; Mammalia; Rodentia; Sciuridae
Description: lncRNA (ENSUPAG00010019135.1)
Source: RNAcentral
CCAGCCCGCUCAUUCAAUUUCUUAAGGAGACUUGGGUCCUGGGCAAGAGUUGGAGCUGCCGUGGGUGAGUCGCGGCGAUUGCCUGCCAAGCAUGCUGUGGUCGGAUCUGCCCAGCCGAGGAGCAGAGACAUUGGCCGGAUGGAAAAUCCAUAAAAGAAAGCUCUUCUGAAAAGCUGAGACAGACGAGAACUUCCGCAGACUCAGAUGUAUUUGGGCUGCCUGACCGCCUUGGGUGAUUGCUAUUAAUUAACAGACUUUGUGGGGAGAAGGGAGCUUGCCUUCUGAGCUCUGAACCAAAGAUCUGGGAAAAGUAAGUAAUUCUUAAUUCGUAGUUAAAAAUUCUGUUACACUUCUUUCAGAAAGAUACCAAUGGGGCUA